UUUUAAAUUAACAGGAGAUUGAGGAAAU
This 28-nucleotide small RNA is filed under the name Bombyx mori (domestic silkworm). RNAcentral's name for it is "ovarian small RNA-38444". The record is from RNAcentral. Lineage: Eukaryota; Metazoa; Arthropoda; Insecta; Lepidoptera; Bombycidae.